UUCAUGGAUUUCAUACGCUGCAAGGUUUUUAGCUAUGCUGUAAUUUAUGUUUGGGUUUUAUUUAAGUGUUUACAGCAUCGGAAAAUUGGUAAUUGAGCUUAGGCAUGGCAUGCUGGGCAUUUUGCAAGCGCCAUUUUUCUUAUUUUUUUUGGAAGUGGAAAGCAUAGCUAAUUUGCUCUUUGGAAGUGCUUUCACUUAGUUUUGAAAGCAAAAUUUGUGGUAGUUUUGGAUUUAACAGAGCAAAAUCAGUGCUUUAACGUACCGAGCAAACGGUAGCCCGACAAGCUUGGAGCUUCCAAAUUGAUGGAAAAAACGUACUUUUAUGUGACGAGAAUUUUAACGAAAGUAAUGAAAAAGUGGUUUCACG
Molecule: unclassified non-coding RNA, 367 nt
Filed under: Hevea brasiliensis (rubber tree)
Lineage: Eukaryota; Viridiplantae; Streptophyta; Magnoliopsida; Malpighiales; Euphorbiaceae
Source: RNAcentral